This 503-nucleotide ribosomal RNA is filed under the name uncultured bacterium. RNAcentral describes it as "bacterial SSU rRNA". It matches the Rfam family "Bacterial small subunit ribosomal RNA", at positions 19 to 518 of the family's 1533-position model. The record is from RNAcentral.
AUGGCUCAGGAUGAACGCUAGCUACAGGCUUAACACAUGCAAGUCGAGGGCAGCAUGGGAGCAAUACUCAGAUGGCGACCGGCGCACGGGUGAGUAACACGUAUCCAACCUGCCGCUUACUCGGGGAUAGCCUUUCGAAAGAAAGAUUAAUACCCGAUGGUAUAAAGAGUUCGCAUGUUCUCUUUAUUAAAGAAUUUCGGUAAGCGAUGGGGAUGCGUUCCAUUAGAUAGUUGGCGGGGUAACGGCCCACCAAGUCUACGAUGGAUAGGGGUUCUGAGAGGAAGGUCCCCCACAUUGGAACUGAGACACGGUCCAAACUCCUACGGGAGGCAGCAGUGAGGAAUAUUGGUCAAUGGACGAGAGUCUGAACCAGCCAAGGUAGCGUGAAGGAUGACUGCCCUAUGGGUUGUAAACUUCUUUUAUAAGGGAAUAAAGUGAGGGACGUGUCCCUUUUUGUAUGUACCUUAUGAAUAAGGAUCGGCUAACUCCGUGCCAGCCGCCGC